ACCCGCUGAACUUAAGCAUAUCAUAUAAGCGGAGGAAAAGAAACCAACUGGGAUUGCCCUAGUAACGGCGAGUGAAGCGGCAACAGCUCAAAUUUGAAAUCUGGCUCCCUUUGGGGGUCCGAGUUGUAAUUCGCAGAGGGUGCUUUGGCGUUGGUGGCGGUCUAAGUUCCUUGGAACAGGACAUCGCAGAGGGUGAGAAUCCCGUAUGUGGUCGCCUGCCUUCGCCGUGUAAAGCCCCUUCGACGAGUCGAGUUGUUUGGGAAUGCAGCUCUAAAUGGGAGGUAAAUUUCUUCUAAAGCUAAAUACCGGCCAGAGACCGAUAGCGCACAAGUAGAGUGAUCGAAAGAUGAAAAGCACUUUGGAAAGAGAGUCAAACAGCACGUGAAAUUGUUGAAAGGGAAGCGCUUGCAGCCAGACUUGCCCGUAGUUGCUCACCUGGAUUUCUAUCCGGGGCAUUCUUCUGCGGGCAGGCCAGCAUCAGUUUGGGCGGUCGGAUAAAGGCCUCUGUCAUGUAUCUUCCUUCGGGAUGACCUUAUAGGGGAGGUGUAAUGCGAUCAGCCCGGACUGAGGUCCGCGCUUCGGCUAGGAUGCUGGCGUAAUGGCUGU
RNAcentral lists this ribosomal RNA (606 nucleotides) under uncultured fungus. RNAcentral describes it as "eukaryotic LSU rRNA". It matches the Rfam family "Eukaryotic large subunit ribosomal RNA", at positions 23 to 641 of the family's 3401-position model. Lineage: Eukaryota; Fungi. The record is from RNAcentral.